CCUCCGGGUGGCUGCAGUGGGGGAUAUUGCACAAUGGGGGGAACCCUGAUGCAGCGACGCCGCGUGAGUGAAGAAGUAUCUCGGUAUGUAAAGCUCUAUUAGCAGGGAAGAAGCAAGACGGUACCUGACUAAGAUGCCCCGGCUAACUACGUGCCAGCCGCCGCGGUAAUACGCAGGGGGCGCGCGUUAUCCGGAUUUACUGGGUGUAAAGGGAGCGUAUAGGGCAUGGAAAGUCUGGAGUGAAAGCCCGGGGCCCAACCCCGGGACUGCUCUGGAAACUGCCAUGCUAGAGUGCUGGAGAGGUAAAUGGAAUUCCUGGUGUAGCGGUGAAAUGCGUAGAUAUUAGGAGGAACACCAGUGGCGAAGGCGGCUUACUGGACAGUGACUGACGUUGAGGCUCGAAAGCGUGGGGAGCAAACAGGAUUAGAUACCCUGGUAGUC
This 441-nucleotide ribosomal RNA is filed under the name uncultured bacterium. Its description in RNAcentral is "partial 16S ribosomal RNA". It matches the Rfam family "Bacterial small subunit ribosomal RNA", at positions 338 to 795 of the family's 1533-position model. The record is from RNAcentral.